UACGGGGGGAGCAAGCGUUGUUCGGAUUUACUGGGCGUAAAGGGCGCGUAGGCGGCCACCGCAAGUCGGUUGUGAAAUCUCCGGGCUUAACCCGGAAAGGUCAAUCGAUACUGCGGGGCUAGAGUGCAGAAGGGGCAAUUGGAAUUCUCGGUGUAGCGGUGAAAUGCGUAGAUAUCGAGAGGAACACCUGCGGCGAAGGCGGGUUGCUGGGCUGACACUGACGCUGAAGCGCGAAAGCUAGGGGAGCGAACGGG
Molecule: ribosomal RNA, 254 nt
Filed under: uncultured bacterium
Lineage: Bacteria
Description: partial 16S ribosomal RNA
Rfam family: Bacterial small subunit ribosomal RNA
Source: RNAcentral